RNAcentral lists this transfer RNA (72 nucleotides) under Bos taurus (domestic cattle). It matches the Rfam family "tRNA". Rfam says of the family: Transfer RNA (tRNA) molecules are approximately 80 nucleotides in length. Their secondary structure includes four short double-helical elements and three loops (D, anti-codon, and T loops). The record is from Rfam by way of RNAcentral. Lineage: Eukaryota; Metazoa; Chordata; Mammalia; Artiodactyla; Bovidae. RNAcentral also lists the same sequence under 4 other names.
UCGCUGGUGUCUUAGAUGGUAAAGAAUCUGCCUACAAUGCAGGAGACCCAGGUUCAGUCCCUGGAUCGGGAA